GACUGGGUGGCUUAGCUGGUUAGGUAAGGUCGCAAAGUCUGAUAUCACGGUAAGGAAUAUCUAACAUUGAUCUAAAUUAGAGCGAUAGUCUCAUAUGCCACGAUAUGUGAUCUAUAGAUCGCGAGUUCGAACCUCGCCCCGGUCA
This 145-nucleotide transfer RNA is filed under the name Letharia columbiana. RNAcentral describes it as "tRNA-Ile". The record is from RNAcentral. Lineage: Eukaryota; Fungi; Ascomycota; Lecanoromycetes; Lecanorales; Parmeliaceae.